CUCCUACACAAAAUUAUGUGCUUUAUGAGCUAAAACGCUUAAAAUGCACACAAUUUCCUCCUCCAUCGCACAAGGACCGAAGGUAAAGAGUGAGAUUACUUUCGAUGGAGAACUGUGAAUCGUGACAUGUUGGCAUUGACUUGCUGUUCAUCAGUGCAAUUGUACAACACGGGCUGUUCUUAUGGUACCCAGAGUAGUGGUGAUGCUUCUAGGGGCAAGGCCCCCGCCUUGGAAUAGUGGAUGACGCUGCUGAUUUAUCUUUAUUAUGUUUAGACUCUAUGAUGACAUGUAUAUUUAUUAACAUAUUCGAUUAUCUUAUGUUGAGAUUAUGCUAUGUAUUUAUUUAGGCUCAUGAUUGUAGUAUUGGAGCCAUGAAUUAUUUACCGAUGCUUAGACGCGUUUGAAAUUAAUAUAGACUUGAUGUAUGUUUUCCGUUA
Gastrolobium bilobum is the source of this 437-nucleotide long non-coding RNA. RefSeq lists it as uncharacterized. NCBI's taxonomy places the organism in Eukaryota, Viridiplantae, Streptophyta, Magnoliopsida, Fabales, Fabaceae. The transcript is spliced from 3 exons. The record is from RefSeq and is a predicted model, not a curated record.